RNAcentral lists this ribosomal RNA (1353 nucleotides) under uncultured marine eukaryote. Its description in RNAcentral is "SSU rRNA". It matches the Rfam family "Eukaryotic small subunit ribosomal RNA", at positions 411 to 1776 of the family's 1831-position model. The record is from RNAcentral.
CACUUCUAAGGAAGGCAGCAGGCGCGCAAAUUACCCAAUCCUGACUCAGGGAGGUAGUGACAAGAAAUAACAAUAAACCGGCUUAUGCCGGUUUAAUUGGAAUGAGUACAAUUUAAACAUCUUAACGAGGAACAAUUGGAGGGCAAGUCUGGUGCCAGCAGCCGCGGUAAUUCCAGCUCCAAUAGCGUAUACUAAAGUUGUUGCAGUUAAAAAGCUCGUAGUUGGAUUUCUGUGGGGACGGAGCGGCCGGCCGCAACUCGCGGUUCGAGCUGACGCUUUCCCUACAUCCUGCCACGAACCGUGCUACCAUUAGUUUGGUGGCGCCGGGGAUCGGCUCGAUUACUUUGAGAAAAAUAGAGUGUUCAAAGCAGGCCACAUGCCUUGAAUAAGUUAGCAUGGAAUAAUAACUAAGGACUUCGGUUCUAUUUUGUUGGUGUUCGGGACUGAAGUAAUGAUUGAUAGGGACAGUUGGGGCGGUCUGUAUUCCAAAGCGAGAGGUGAAAUUCUUAGACCUUCGGAAGACAAACAGCUGCGAAAGCGUUCCGCAAGGAUGUUCCCUUUGAUCAAGAACGAAAGUUGGGGGAUCGAAGACGAUCAGAUACCGUCGUAGUCUCAACUAUAAACUAUACCAGCUAGGGAUCAACCAACGUUAUUUCAAACCGACUUGGUCGGCACCUUAUGAGAAAUCAAAGCAUCUGGGUUCCGGGGGGAGUAUGGUCGCUAGGCUGAAACUUAAAGGAAUUGACGGAAGGGCACCACCAGCCGUGGAGCCUGUGGCUUAAUUUGACUCAACACGGGAAAACUUACCAGGUCCAGACAUAGUAAGGAUUGACAGAUUGAUAGCUCUUUCUUGAUUCUGUGGGUGGUGGUGCAUGGCCGUUCUUAGUUGGUGGAGUGAUUUGUCUGGUUAAUUCCGUUAACGAACGAGACCCCAGCCUGCUAAAUAGCGCGCGUGAGCUUUGCUCGCGGCGAGCUUCUUAGAGGGACUCUGAUGCGCGAUAGCACAUGGAAGUUUGGGGCAAUAACAGGUCUGUGAUGCCCUUAGAUGUUCUGGGCCGCACACGGGCUACACUGGCGCCUGCAACGAGCAUAUCAGCUGGCCCGAGAGGGUCUUGGCUAAUCUUUUGAACCGGCGCCGUGCUUGGGAUUGACCUUUGCAAUUGUUGGUCAUGCAACGAGGAAUGCCUUGUAAACGCGAGUCCUCAGCUCGCAUUGAAUACGUCCCUGCCCUUUGUACACACCGCCCGUCGCUCCUACCGAUGAAUGUUCCGAUGAAAUUUUCGGAGAGCACCUGUGAACUUGGCUCUGCCUUGCGAACGGGAGGCUCAAAGUCACUUAAAUCUGAACAUUUCG